This is a long non-coding RNA of Pezoporus flaviventris, 642 nucleotides long. RefSeq lists it as uncharacterized. Lineage: Eukaryota; Metazoa; Chordata; Aves; Psittaciformes; Psittacidae. The record is from RefSeq and is a predicted model, not a curated record. The transcript is spliced from 3 exons.
AAUGUAUCUGUUCAAGUGGAGAUAAUCCAUGCAAAUCAGAGGCACUGGCUCUCAGUGCUUGAUUCACAAAGAGAACUCAGCUUCAGGAGGUCACUCGUUCACAGCUGCUCCUCCCAUUAUAUUUUUCCCUUAUUGCAGAACUGCUGCAUGUAUACAGUGACUGAAAGGACUCAAUUUACUGCAACUGCUGCCUGGCUUUACUUACAACUUUCUUUAAAGGGGGACUUACCUUCUAUCUGUCUUACUAAGGUGAAAGUGCACCAGGGACAUCACCUAAAGCUGGGCACUAUGAGACCUAAUCUUUGGUAGGAGCCCAUGAGGGAUUGGAGGUCCUACUGUGACAGACUUCAUUUGGCUUCUUCUUCGUUGCUGUUUCCUUUCCUCAAAGGAUUUCUAAUGAAGUUGAGAUGAAGAUUCUGCUGCAUAGACAGCAAAAAGUGCUCAAGGAGGUUUACGCCUCCAGCAUGCUGCAAAGUCAUCUCUCCCACGGACCUAGGGUCUAAUAGCUUGAAAUGAGUGUCACAGAGACAAGAUUGGUAAGGUGUUCCGAAUAGUUUUGUGGCUGUAUGUGUUUUCGCUCACCAAGCUUCAAGUACAACUUGAAAAUAUCAUGUUGAGAGGAUUAUGUGCUUCAUCCUGCCU